GACAGAGGGUGCAAACGUUGUUCGGAAUUACUGGGCAUAAAGCGCACGUAGGUGGUCCGCUAAGUCGCGUGUGAAAUCCCCCGGCUCAACCGGGGAAAUGCGCGUGAUACUGGCGGGCUUGAGAUCGGGAGGGGUGAAUGGAACUCCAGGUGGAGCGGUGAAAUGCGUAGAUAUCUGGAGGAACACCGGCGGCGAAAGCGGUUCACUGGCCCGACACUGACACUGAGGUGCGAAAGCUAGGGUAGCAAACGGG
This 253-nucleotide ribosomal RNA is filed under the name uncultured bacterium. Its description in RNAcentral is "partial 16S ribosomal RNA". It matches the Rfam family "Bacterial small subunit ribosomal RNA", at positions 524 to 776 of the family's 1533-position model. The record is from RNAcentral.